UCGAUGCCGGCCAGCAGUUCGUCGCUGAGGGUCAGCUCGAGGCUGGCCAGGUUGCUGUCCAGCUGUGCGAGGCUGGUGGCGCCGAG
RNAcentral lists this transfer RNA (86 nucleotides) under compost metagenome. RNAcentral's name for it is "tRNA-Ser". The record is from RNAcentral.